GGUGGGCGCGCGCAGCCCGUUCUUCCGGUCUUCGUGACGACAUGGCGGCGGUGCUGGUGGCGGUGGCAGCAUGUUGUCCAGCAAAGGGAAAAACACCCUUUGCACUCACCUUCCCGGGAGGGUGAGUCUUUCACCGGGCUGGCAGUAAGCCUGCAUCAGCAGCACAAAGGAGGAAAAUGUUGUGCAGAACCCUGGGGUUGGAUCAUCCCCCAGAGGCAGCUUUGGCGAGAAGGCAGCUGUGAAGUCGGACCUCAAACUGGUAAGAGAAUCUAACUCGUGUCUGUUUGUAGAAGAUCUGUUCUGUGCACUGAUGGGCUGAACCAGCAGACUUGACGGCAGCACACUUCCGUAGGAAAUAAAGGACCUGGUGUGCAGCUGGAGGAAGGAGCAAGUGGUUCCUGCAGUGCUGUUUUUGAAUAAAACAAAUCAUUGAAAAUCAGAGAGUCAAGUCUUUUUUGGGUAUCUGCUUUGAACAGAAAUGGCUUUGGGCAAGUAGAAAGGAUUUCAUAUUGAAAUGCCUUCUGAAAUAAGAGCAAGCGUGAGCUUAUUCU
Long non-coding RNA from Lagopus leucura (white-tailed ptarmigan), 551 nucleotides. RefSeq lists it as uncharacterized. The transcript is spliced from 5 exons. Lineage: Eukaryota; Metazoa; Chordata; Aves; Galliformes; Phasianidae. The record is from RefSeq and is a predicted model, not a curated record.